AUAGACAACAAAUAAUCCCUGUUGAUUGGUUGAAUUUGCUGUUCACAUUUUAUCACAGCCAAUCAAGGGGCAGAAUUUACACCAAUAUUUUGUUGGUAGCGCGACCUGCAGAGUGAUUUGAUAACUCUGUGAUCAUCCCUGAAUGAUACCAAUCAAGCUCAUUUGAUAUUCAUUUUAAUCCAUUAAAGUUUUUCUAUGAAUUU
Long non-coding RNA from Maniola jurtina (meadow brown), 203 nucleotides. RefSeq lists it as uncharacterized. The transcript has 3 exons. NCBI's taxonomy places the organism in Eukaryota, Metazoa, Arthropoda, Insecta, Lepidoptera, Nymphalidae. The record is from RefSeq and is a predicted model, not a curated record.